GAACGAGCACAAGUAUCACAAUGAGAAAGAGUACAUGGACUAUCAAAAAUUUUAGGAAUAGUAAAGCUAGAAGGAUGACCUAGACGUUGAUGCCAUAGGGUCUUAUUGUCAAUAUUGUGAACUGAGAAAGCAGCGGAUUUUUGGGGCCGAAAAACAUAGAGUCCAUUGCAAGCUUCACCCGCUUCAAUCAGCCUCUUCAACUGAAGGUCCUGAAAAAAAUAAGUAGAAUAUGAGAAAAUUGCUAUGUAAGAUAAAUGGGUAGUGAGUUGAGGGACGAAGAGGAGAUUAAAACGAAAAGCAGAGACAUAAAUGACAUUAUGUAGUGUGAGGGUUUCUGAUAAAACAAUGGAACCGAUGCCUUCAACGGGAAUGGAGGCUCCCGUGGGAAGUUGAAUCGAUCGAGCCAUAGGUGGUUGUUGAAGAUGAGAAAAAAAGGAACGGCAGUGGCUCAUAUGAUCACUAGCACCAUUGUCGAUGAUCCAAUCCUGUUGUGGAUCGAAAGAGCACGGCAUCGUGGAGGAGUUACCAACGAAAUUUGCAGUCGGAGCAGCAGGGCGAAGGAGGUUCAUCAAUUGCUGAUAAUUUUCUAGUGAGAGGCCUGGGACUGGGCUCGAGCUAGAUCAGGCGAGGUUGGCAGCAGCAGGUCGUUUGCCAAGGAUCGAGGGCUUGCGGUUGUUGCGUGGCUCACGGCCAGGAGGAUAACCGAUGAUGAGCCAGCAACGGUGAUGGGGUUCUCGGAUGGCAAUCGGGGAACUUGUAGCAGACGCUGUUGUUCCUCUUGGAAGAGAAUGGAGAAGACUUUGUUGAGAGGUGGGAGAGGAUCAGUGGCAAGAAUUUGGGUUCGAAGAGCGGCGAACGAGUCGUUGAGUCCCAAUAGAAACUGAAACACACGUUCGUCCUCAACUCUUUUUUCCAAGGUGUUGGCAUCGGUGAGGGUUUGAAGGUUGCUGAGUUCAUCCCAUAAUUGCUUGAUGCUAUUGUAGUAAUCAGGGAUGGAGAGCUGAUUUUGGUGAAGAUUGGAUAUUUCUCGUUUGAGAUGGAAGAGACGAGCAUUGUUGCCAUGGCAAAACCGCGACUCAAGGUCGAGCCAUACAUCUCGAGGGUCAUCAUGGUAGUCCAGAGAAUUGGCUAGGGAAGCGGUUAUGGUGUUUAGGAUCCAAGUGAGGACCAUAUCUUUGGUCCUGCUCCAUUGAGCAUAAUCGUUGGAAGUAUUGGAUGGGGCUUUGAGGGUGCCAUCAA
Long non-coding RNA from Juglans microcarpa x Juglans regia, 1239 nucleotides. RefSeq lists it as uncharacterized. The transcript has 2 exons. The record is from RefSeq and is a predicted model, not a curated record. Lineage: Eukaryota; Viridiplantae; Streptophyta; Magnoliopsida; Fagales; Juglandaceae.